Molecule: long non-coding RNA, 1808 nt
Filed under: Trifolium pratense (red clover)
Lineage: Eukaryota; Viridiplantae; Streptophyta; Magnoliopsida; Fabales; Fabaceae
Description: long non-coding RNA (TPRA_LNC003133)
Source: RNAcentral
AGUGCCAAACCCGCACCCGUGGGCACACGUUGCCAUCCCUAAGCAAGAGAAAGAAAGCUUCGCCAUUGCCGGUGAGACAAGCGAGGGAGGGAGAAAGCUUCACCGGCAGUGGCGGAGCCGGGACCUUGGGCCAGGGGGUGCAAACUAUUUAACCUAAAAAAAAAUUACAAACAUUUAUUAAUUUAAAUUCCACAAGCACAAGAUGUACACGUGAGAUAUUACACUCAAUCUAAAUCCUCAUUACAAAAGGAAUACAACCAAACUAACACUGAACCAAAUCAGAACAUACAUAAGAAACACCCAUAAGGCAAGCAGCAUAGUUAUGCAGGAAGUGACAUAAUUAUCUCCUAUAAGACAAGCAAAAUAAAAAGAGACACGUGAUACAGAACUUUUAAGAAAACAAAUUAGCCACUAUCAUUUGUGAUCAUCAAUCUCAUUCUCUUGUACGUCUAACUCCCUAAGAGACCUACAUUCAUUAAUACACAAGUCAUAUGGAAAGUCAAGAAGAUAUUCUUAACAUGUUGCAGGCAAUUCUCAAUCAGUGGAACAUAUUUCUCAACACCAUUUCCCCUAACCCCACAUAUAUCAUAGACAAACAAGAUUAUCUGGAGGUGCAUAUUUUAACAGCUAAAACUGCUCAUUAUAAAGAAUUCACAUCUUGAUAAUAAAUUGAAGAGUUUUCAAUCAAGCUCUCGUUAUACUUUUUAAGAUACUAUUGAAGACUAGUAUGUCCACAAAACAAGACAUGAGGUAAAAUUUAAGUCUGAAAUCAUUCAACCACCUUGCUGAACUAAUUAUACUCAUUCUCUAGAGAACACAAGCCAACAAUUAACUUGCAAAUAUAAAAAAAUUGAAAUUUUGAUAGUACAAGAAGACAGAGACAACGCCAAUCAGAAUGCAUAUGAGGAGAUUAUGGAGAUUGAAACAUUCUAAAAUGCACAAAAAAUUAACCAUUCUUCAAAGAUCAAUGCACAAACAACAACAAUAACAAACAACAAUGCACUAGAUUAUGGAGAUUGUAACAUUUUACAAUGCACUAACAAUCACAUAACCCCCCAAUUUUAAACAUAUAUCAAAAACCCUAACAAUGACAUCACAACACAGCUAUAUUACUGAUAAUCUCAAAUGCAUAACUAAUCAACUAAUUUAUCAUAAUUACAGUCAUACAAAAAAUCCUAAAUCACAACUUAAAACCAUUCCUUUACUUUUUUAUUUUUGCCAAUCUAAAACCAUUGAAACAGAGUAAAUAAAUUUGAAAGGUACAAUUUUUCUUUUAGAAGUUAUUACUAUCAAUUUUCAAUCCAUUGAUAACCCAUUUUUGCAUGUAAAUGCAAUGGUAUAGGUGAAAAUAAUCAAGCUGACAUCAAUUGAGAAGGAUUUGGAUUUAGUCUAACUCCAGAAGAAAAAUUGAAUAAUUUAAACAUCAAAAUGAACCUAAUUUCAUAAGGAACUUGCAGCAGAUUCACAAUCCAAAAAAAAAUCGCAGAAUCAUGAAUUGGUAACUCGAAAACUUACCUUUCAAAUUGAGUUUCAGAAGCGUAGAUGGAGAUGAACGCGACGGAUAUUUGAGCGGUGGAGAAUGACAACGGCGGUUUAGGCGACGGCGACGGAGACGGCAGCUUGAGGUUUUUGGUGUGAUUUAGGUUUUUGGAUUGUAUUGAAAAUUUAAUUUAUUGUAAGGGUAUUUUAGUCAAUAUGGGUGUAAUCAGAUUUUUUUGGGUGUGAUUAAAAAAAAUCAUUAUGUUUUUCUUUUGGACAGAAAAAAAAAAUCAUUAUGUUUUUUGUUUAUUUUAUAAGUUUUGAUUUUC